UUACCAUCUUCAUCCCAACGGUAAGCAGCUCCAUACUAAGGAAAGAGUGAAAUAGGUGUGCUUUACUUGUAGAAGCCCGUUCCUGUCCAGAGUGAUUAGUAAGUUGUUUCACCAUGACCCCCAUUAUGGUGACUGGAAAAAGAAAAAAAAAAUAUUUGCCCAACACAGAAGUGGCACCCAAGAAGUCCUACUUAAGAGGCUUCAUACCCU
This 210-nucleotide long non-coding RNA is filed under the name Citrus sinensis (sweet orange). RNAcentral describes it as "long non-coding RNA (CSIN_LNC005596)". The record is from RNAcentral. Lineage: Eukaryota; Viridiplantae; Streptophyta; Magnoliopsida; Sapindales; Rutaceae.